Molecule: ribosomal RNA, 495 nt
Filed under: uncultured bacterium
Lineage: Bacteria
Description: partial 16S ribosomal RNA
Rfam family: Bacterial small subunit ribosomal RNA
Source: RNAcentral
GACGAACGCUGGCGGCGUGCCUAAUACAUGCAAGUAGAACGCUGAAGGAGGAGCUUGCUUCUCCGGAUGAGUUGCGAACGGGUGAGUAACGCGUAGGUAACCUGCCUGGUAGCGGGGGAUAACUAUUGGAAACGAUAGCUAAUACCGCAUAACAGUAGAUAUCGCAUGAUAUCUGCUUGAAAGGUGCAAUUGCAUCACUACCAGAUGGACCUGCGUUGUAUUAGCUAGUUGGUGAGGUAACGGCUCACCAAGGCGACGAUACAUAGCCGACCUGAGAGGGGGAUCGGCCACACUGGGACUGGGACACGGCCCAGACUCCUACGGGAGGGAGCAGAAGGGAAUCUUCGGCAAUGGACGGAAGUCUGACCGAGCAACGCCGCGGGAGUGAAGAAGGGUUUCGGAUCGUAAAGCUCGGUUGUAAGAGAAGAACGAGUGUGAGAGUGGAAAGUUCACACUGUGACGGUAUCUUACCAGAAAGGGACGGCUAACUACGUG